UGUAGGAUAUGUGGGAGCUCUUAAAAGAGCAACCUUGAAAUACCACCCUUUUGUUCAAUUUGCUCUAACUUUAUAUUCGUCAGGUCGCUACGCGAAUUUUUGCAACUUGGUGCAACGGCGUACGCAGCCGCAACUUUCUAUUUUUUUGAGCUUCUUUGCUGUUUAGCAAAGAUAUUUACUUUUUGUACAUAAAUACUAAAAAGCAAGCACAAGGCAGCUUAUCAAAAGGGAGGACGUGAUAGGUGGGUAGUUUCAUUGGAGCGAUGGCUUUAAUUUAUGGAGCCUUACUGUGGAAACACAGUCAAGCAAUUCUGGCUAUAUGCCGGAACAUCCGUAUGGCACAUGUGGGGCUAAAGCUUACGAGGUCGCGCUUUGCUUUACUAAUUACCUGCUUAGCAGGUUCUAUAGCGAAGGACUAGAUUUAGCUAAUACAUCGUGAUCAUGAGCGAUAAUUAAAAAAGACACGGCAGCCCCCCAGUUUGCGAAUAAACAAAAAUAGCGAGAGCAAAGUGUGCCUCCCUAAAAAUGUAAAAAUAUUUUAGUAAAGUGGACAAUCGGUAGGGAAGUUAUUAAAAGUUGUACCUCGCCUUGCAAUGGGGGCCGUAGGCAUACGCCAUUGCCCUUCCGAAGCCUCCUCUAGCGGCUUAGCUUCGGCCAUGUGCUUGUCUACU
Molecule: long non-coding RNA, 671 nt
Filed under: Amborella trichopoda
Lineage: Eukaryota; Viridiplantae; Streptophyta; Magnoliopsida; Amborellales; Amborellaceae
Description: long non-coding RNA (ATRI_LNC000729)
Source: RNAcentral